This 329-nucleotide unclassified non-coding RNA is filed under the name plant metagenome. RNAcentral describes it as "partial contains 5.8S ribosomal RNA, internal transcribed spacer 2, and large subunit ribosomal RNA". The stretch from base 1 to 105 matches the Rfam family "5.8S ribosomal RNA", at positions 50 to 154 of the family's 154-position model. The record is from RNAcentral.
GAAAUGCGAUAAGUAAUGUGAAUUGCAGAAUUCCGUGAAUCAUCGAAUCUUUGAACACACAUUGCGCCCUCUGGUAUUCCGGGGGGCAUGCCUGUCCGAGCGUCAUUGCGAACCCCUCAAGCACGGCUUGUGUGAUGGGCCCUCCCGCGUCUUGGUCGUCAAGACGGGCCCGAAAUGCAGUGGCGGCUUCGCGGUUAUCCGAUCAGCCAGAGCGUAUGGGGACUUUCUCUCUGUCACACGCCCGCGGCGCGGACCGACGCCUGUCGACCUUUAUUCAUCUUUUUCUCGGUUGACCUCGGAUCAGGUAGGGAUACCCGCUGAACUUAAGC